Sesamum indicum (sesame) is the source of this 303-nucleotide long non-coding RNA. RefSeq lists it as uncharacterized. The record is from RefSeq and is a predicted model, not a curated record. NCBI's taxonomy places the organism in Eukaryota, Viridiplantae, Streptophyta, Magnoliopsida, Lamiales, Pedaliaceae.
CUGUUCCAGAAGAAAUCCCACAUGGAUCUCAAGCCGCGCCGCCCCCCCUUAAGCCAGGAGUAACCAAGUAAAAAGGCUAUAACAAAACGAAAGAGAAAAAGCAGCAAUGUAGUACAACCAUCUUCACCUGCACCAGGCUUUGCAACCCAGCAACAAGUAUGCUAUCAAAGUCCUACAAAUGCAUCCUUGUUGGGGAAUGAUACUCUAGUAGCUUCUUCAAUACCUGCAACUAGAAGAUACAACAAGAGGCCGACUAUUUCACAAGUUUUGGACAAGAUGAAAGAAAGACAAAUGAGAAGACAA